Molecule: ribosomal RNA, 469 nt
Filed under: uncultured bacterium
Lineage: Bacteria
Description: partial 16S ribosomal RNA
Rfam family: Bacterial small subunit ribosomal RNA
Source: RNAcentral
GACGAACGCUGGCGGCGUGCUUAACACAUGCAAGUCGAACGGAAAGGCCCUGCUUGCAGGGUGCUCGAGUGGCGAACGGGUGAGUAACACGUGGGUGAUCUGCCCCUUACUUUGGGAUAAGCCUGGGAAACUGGGUCUAAUACUGGAUAGGACCAUGCUGUAGGUGGUGUGGUGGAAAGAUUAGUUUCGGUAAGGGAUGGGCUCGCGGCCUAUCAGCUUGUUGGUGGGGUAAUGGCCUACCAAGGCGUCGACGGGUAGCCGGCCUGAGAGGGUGGACGGCCACAUUGGGACUGAGAGACGGCCCAGACUCCUACGGGAGGCAGCAGUGGGGAAUAUUGCACAAUGGGCGCAAGCCUGAUGCAGCUACGCCGCGUGGGGGAUGACGGCCUUCGGGUUGUAAACUCCUUUCAGCCAUGACGAAGCCCUUGUGGUGACGGUAGUGGUAGAAGAAGCACCGGCUAACUACGUG